Molecule: ribosomal RNA, 406 nt
Filed under: uncultured bacterium
Lineage: Bacteria
Description: partial 16S ribosomal RNA
Rfam family: Bacterial small subunit ribosomal RNA
Source: RNAcentral
AUUGAACGCUGGCGGCAGGCCUAACUCAUGCAAGUCGAACGAGUGGCGGACGGGUGAGUAAUGUCUGGGAAACUGCCUGAUGUAGGGGGUUAACUACUGGAAACGGUAGCUAAUACCGCAUACCAUCAGAUGUGCCCAGAUGGGAUUAGCUUGUUGGUGGGGUAACGGCUCACCAUGCCGACGAUCCCUAGCUGGUCUGAGAGGAUGACCAGCCACAGUGGAACUGAGACACGGUCCAGACUCCUACGGGAGGCAGCAGUGGGGAAUAUUGCACAAUUGGCGCAAUCCUGAUGCAGCCAUGCCGCGUGUAUGAAGAAGGCCUUCGGGUUGUAAAGUACUUUCAGCGGGGAGGCGUUACCCGCAGAAGAAGCACCGGGUAAAUACGUGCCAGCAGCCGCGGUAAUUC